GCUUAUGACCAAAUCACCUGGAAUGUGCCCAAUCUCGUCAGAUCUCAGAAGCUAAGCAGUUUGGGCAUGGAUUGUGCUUGGAUGGGUGACCACAAUCCAUGCUAGGUUGUCAUAGGCA
RNAcentral lists this ribosomal RNA (118 nucleotides) under Petromyzon marinus (sea lamprey). Lineage: Eukaryota; Metazoa; Chordata; Hyperoartia; Petromyzontiformes; Petromyzontidae. The record is from RNAcentral.